GGAAAAGGAUGUGGCGUUGCCCAGACAACUAGGAUGUUGGCUUAGAAGCAGCCAUCAUUUAAAGAGUGCGUAAUAGCUCACUAGUCGAGUGACACUGCGCCGAAAAUGUACCGGGGCUAAACAUAUUACCGAAGCUGUGGAUUGUCCGUAGGACAAUGGUAGGAGAGCGUUCUAAGGGCGUUGAAGCAUGAUCGCAAGGACAUGUGGAGCGCUUAGAAGUGAGAAUGCCGGUGUGAGUAGCGAAAGACGGGUGAGAAUCCCGUCCACCGAUUGACUAAGGUUUCCAGAGGAAGGCUCGUCCGCUCUGGGUUAGUCGGGUCCUAAGCUGAGGCCGAUAGGCGUAGGCGAUGGAUAACAGGUUGAUAUUCCUGUACCACCUAGUAUCGUUUUAAUCGAUGGGGGGACGCAGUAGGAUAGGCGAAGCGUACGAUUGGAUUGUACGUCCAAGCAGUAAGACUGAGUGUUAGGCAAAUCCGGCACUCUUAAGGUCAAGCUGUGAUGGGGAGAGGAAAUUGUUUCCUCGAGUCGUUGAUUUCACACUGCCGAGAAAAGCCUCUAGCUAGAUUUAUGGUGCCCGUACCGCAAACCGACACAGGUAGUCAAGAUGAGAAUUCUAAGGUGAGCGAGCGAACUCUCGUUAAGGAACUCGGCAAAAUGACCCCGUAACUUCGGGAGAAGGGGUGCUCUUUAGGGUUCACGCCCAGGAGAGCCGCAGUGAAUAGGCC
RNAcentral lists this ribosomal RNA (725 nucleotides) under Anophryoides haemophila. Its description in RNAcentral is "partial Bacterial large subunit ribosomal RNA". It matches the Rfam family "Bacterial large subunit ribosomal RNA", at positions 1065 to 1792 of the family's 2925-position model. The record is from RNAcentral. Lineage: Eukaryota; Ciliophora; Oligohymenophorea; Philasterida; Glauconematidae.